Molecule: long non-coding RNA, 38357 nt
Filed under: Vitis vinifera (wine grape)
Lineage: Eukaryota; Viridiplantae; Streptophyta; Magnoliopsida; Vitales; Vitaceae
Description: long non-coding RNA (VVIN_LNC000077)
Source: RNAcentral
UGCAGUUAAUAUCACCAAAGAUAUCGAAAGUCACCUUCUCAAUGCAUAACGCCAAGACCAUAUGUACCGUUUGCUAGUAUUUCUCUCUUAAAUAAAGUUUGGAACUUGGAUGUGCAUCUAUGUACUAUCUCGACCUUUUAAUAAACGCAAAUUCCAGCUGUACUGGAGUUGGUGACUAAUGCCGAGAAGACAAACUAGGUUCCCGAUCCUCAGUUAUUUAUGCAAUAAUAUUAAUUAGUGCAUGCGUGUGAUUAGUUGUAUGGUUCUGGGAGUUGCUUUGUGAUUGUUAAUCGGUGUCUUUUGUAGUGGGAUUAUUACAUGCAUGUAAUGUGAAGAACAUAUGAUCCAUGAGGAAAUAAAUUAAAUGAAAAUUACCCAGGCUCCAUCAUGAGGAGCCUUUGAGCAUGCCCACAAGCCUACGUUCCUGCAUUCAAGUCACAUAUGUGAAAAUUCCACUUUGCACAUAAUCUAAAUAAUUUAUCUAAAAAUCUAAGAAGUAAUCUCUCUCUCCAUCUAUGUCUCUCUCUCCCCAUCUAUAUGUACCUCAAAUGAAGAGGUAAGGUAAUGUAAAAUCCCCACCUCAAAUUUAGGGAUAUUUAUAUAAUUUGAAAAUUUUAAAAAGACCUACAUUAAUUUUGUAAAUAUUUAUGUAAUCAACUUUCUCAGAUUAAUUAAAUAAAAAAUUGACCAAGAUGAUUAAAAAUGCAAAUUUGAUGAGGACAUGAAGUAAAAAGUGGUAGGGUUUAAGGACAAUGGCUUCUACUGAAUUUUGGUGAGGUGGUGAUACAAUGAGGAAAAUAGAUUAAUAAAGUUUAUCCAUGGAAAUAGAAAAUAGAAAACAAAAAAUAUAAAAUAAUAAUAAUAUUCAUGUUAAUCAUUUAAUAAAUAUAAUAAAUGCAAUUAUAUAUGCUAAGUGAAAAUAACAAUAUUAUUAUUAUUAUUAUUAAUGCUUAUGAUAGGUGAGAAUUAAGUCUUUUAGAAAUUUGAGUAAUUUUUUCAAGGUAAAGCUUAUAGUUCAUUAAGUCAUUUUAUAAUUCCUUAUAUAUUUUUUUAUUGAUUUUUAAAGUAUCAAAAUGUGUAAAUUCUUUAAAGUGGAUCAAAUAGUUUUUUUUUUUUUUGAAAUAUUUUGUGAUUUGUUUGGUUGUUAUGAAAGUGAAUUUUAUUACUUAAUUUAUUAUAAUGAUUUUAAAACUCUAGUUAUUAGUGGUUUUAGUCAACAAGGAUAAGUUAUUAACCUUCUUUACCUUUGGUCAGUGAAGGGAUGUAGUAUAACACUAGCCAAUAAAUGUGUCAUUGGUCUUGUAUACUAUUGAUUAGAAAUUGUUAUGUCCACCAAUGAGAGUAUUAAAGUGAGGUGAGCCACCUAAUGUAAGUCCCAAUAUUUGGGCACAACGUUAUUAUUAAUUAAUAAACAAAAAUAAAUAGUUUAUUUAUAAAAAUUUUUUUCUAAAUAUAAAUUGAGUAUGCAAAUUGUAUUUUUUAAUUCUAUCUUUAAAUUUAAAGUGUUUAAUCUUUUGAAGAAAGUGAAUUUAAUUUUUUGAAGAAAGUGAAUUUAAUUUUUGAAUUAAAUAAAUUAACCUGAUAAUUGAUUUUUAUAAAAAUUUGAUAUCUCUUAGAAUUUAAUUCUCUACAAUAUAUACCUGAUUUUUUUCAUUGAACUAUUUUUUCUUAUUGAACCAUUGAAGUCACCCUUCUUUAUUAUUCCCCUUUUCAUAUACAAAUGGUAUAAGUGAGAAGGGAUUACGGGAGGAGAAAUGUUUCUAUUAUAAACAACUUUGGAAUUGAAUUAUGUUGGAUUGUGAAACGUGAAUCGGUUUAAUUUAUUGUAUUUUGCAAGGAAUGCUAGAGGUCGAGUGUCUAAUUGAGCUUGCGGGGAUCAAGAGUCUUGAUCGGUUCGUUGGGACUUGGGAUUGAGUUGUCCAAUCAGCUCAUGGGGUUAAAGGAAUAUCCUUCGAUUUUUUUUAAUACGAUGAAUAACGAGUUUGUCCUAAUUGUAUAUUUAAUCUUAUUAUAAUUUAAAGUUUCUUUUUAGAGAGUGUGUGACUGCAAUCGAAAGGAUAAUGAGUGUUUAGUACUCGUCUUAUUUUUUUCUGAACCAAAUUAAAAAUCUAUUGUUUUUCUUUAUUUUCUAAUCGUGUGUGCAUGAUUUGAUCAACAAAUUAUUUAUAGGAUUGUUUACUUAAAUUUGAUUGUAAUUUAUUUAAGUUUUUAGGAGAAUCAUUAAAUUUAUUAUUACAAUAUUUUAUUAGUUUUGAAUUUGUUAUUUAAAGUGAUUCAUUUACUUGGUUCAAAGGUUUGACAUAUAAAGUCACCGUGGUUCCCUUGGUGUCGCGGGUGAUUUUGUAAGUGCCUUCGGACUACAGAAUAUUAAUUAACCUACCAAUCUUCAAUGUAAUCUAAGAUGCAGAAAGAUCUUGUGGGUUAAGGUCAAGUGGGCGCUUCAAUAUUUAUCAUGUCUUCAAAAAAAACUUCAGGGCCCCAGUCCAGAUUCUCAGAUAUGGAUUCUAACAGUUGCUACCAAUCACGGGGGUGAAAACAAAUCAGUGUCGCAGAAAUCGCUAUCAAUGUGGUACUGGAAAAAAAAGAAGAGAUUCCUCCACUUGUUCUUGAAAUUUAUCUGAACGCAUGCAAUAAAUCAAUGCUCCAUAAUCUCCUGCACAUGCAAAUUAAAAUCAAAAUCAGGCCAUUGGCCUCUCACAUUACCAUUCUUGGCCGUUUUCUGGUGUGCAUAUAAAGAGUAAUAACCACACCAUCCAUCUUUUACUCUGGUUGUCACACUCCCACCACUCUCCCACCACUUCUUCCCUAAUCUCCUAACAUCAAAUACAAAAAUGCCACAUCCUUAUUAUUGAAAAUUAAAUUCCCAUACAUAUAAAUCUUAUGCCAGAUUUUUUGUUGAUUGGAUGAUAUUCGGCCAUAUAAAAUUCAGUAUCAAUCACAAACAUUCGUUAUCCAAUCUUGAUACCGAAGAGGAUAGAGUAUCAAUCCAUCUAUGGGCCCGGUGCACCAGGCCUUCCGCCUAUAAAAGUUUUCUAGGGUGGUGAACUAUAUUCUUCAAACACAGCCUUGGCUAGUUACUAUCUGGUUUCCAAAGAAAGAAGAAAUGGCUCAGAUAGAUAAGAUGGAAACCCAUGUAGAGAAAAAGUCCCCUGCCAAUGAGUUCUACGAGGUCUUCAGCAGCAAAGCUCAUCUCAUUCCCAAGGCCUGCCCUGACAAAAUCAAGAGCAUCGAAGUGGUUGAAGGUGAUUGGAAGAGUGUGGGCUCUGUCAAGCUCUGGACUUACUGUAUCGGUAAGGCAACGCUAACCAUUAUUCCCAUGCCACCCUCAAUCAAACAAAAUAAUACACUCAGCACAUGGACCUUCUUGUUUUUAAUUAUUAUUGCUGUGGAAGAUAAUAAUAACAAAACAAAGGGAAUGACCCCUUCUGAUACGGGUGCCUCCUCAUAUUAGUUUUUUGAAGUUCUCCAUGCAAACUAAAGUAGAAAUCAAUCUUUAGGCACAUCCCUUAUCUGAGCUUCACAUGACCUUAGUUUCAUUUUAAAUUAACCUGCAGGAGGAAAUACUUCGUCUAGCAAGGAGAGGGUGGAAAAGAAAGACGAUAAGAACAAGUCCAUCACUUUCAAGGCUCUGGAUGGAGAGGUCAUGAAGGAUUUCAAGAGCGUCAUCUCCAUCCUUGAAGUGAGUGCAAAGGAUGACGGCAGCCUGGUGAAAUGGACUUUGGAAUAUGAGAAGUCAAAUGAGAAACUCCUACCUCCAGAUGCUUACCUCAGCCUUGUAAUUAGUAUGAGUAAAGAAAUCGACGCUUACCUUCUCAAGGCAUAAGCCGCAUAACAAGCCCUAUAUCCUUGACUUGAUAUGAAAGCAUCCUAGCCUGGGUCCUCCUGGGAAUAACGGAGUUGCUAUGCGUACCUCCAUAUUAUAUUAUCGACACCUACUGGCUACUGCUGUACUCCAUGUAACUUCUUGCUGUACUUAAUUAUAUGAGCUUCCUGAAUUAAUGUUGGAAUGAUAAAUCAAGCUUUAUGGUAGAAUCAAAUGAUUGCUCUAUCAUGGAAUAAAUUUCGCAAUAAAAAUAAAUAUUAGAGGAGAGUUAUGAAACGAAGCUUUUUUUUCUGCAUCAAAUUAACUUUUCAUACACUGUUUUUAAAACAAAUCAACAUACAAUGAUCUUAUGUUGUACCUUUUCCGUUGCAGAUUGCUUUUAAAAAUGUUCUCCCCACAGGCACUUCUAUGGUAUCUUUUCAAAAUUGCUAUUAUAUAUGUUUAAUUAACCAUUCAUUUUGGUCUAAAGCUAGGACGAACUUCUAAGACUGCCACGGAGACUCUGGAAAUCAACAGAUGAAGAAAAAAAUAAAAUAUAUCCAUGACUUCCAAGGUUUUGGAAGCAGAGGUCAUGAAUCAUUUCAAGAAGAUUCAAGUCAUCCAUGCAAGUAACAGCAAAGGAUAAGCGCAGCUAGGUGAAAUGGAGACUGGAUAUUGAGGGUCACUAUCUCAGAUUCUCAAGGCAUAGCAUUAAAAACAUAUCCUUUAAUUGGUAGUAUAAUCUCAAACUUGUAUGUAAAGACCAGACCGUGGAAGUGCAUAUAUGCAUUUUAUUCUUCAAUAAGCGCAGGCUUAGGGGGUAGUUCAAUAACCUCUGGGCUUAGUCAAUCCCGAGAAGAUAUUAAUAAAUUUCCCUGGAUUAUUCCUCUCAUGAAUAUCAGUGCCUGUAAUUUGGUUGUGUGCUAACGGGAGUUGCCUCUUGCGAUCGGUUGGGUUCUUUAAUAAACGCAUUAUUAGGUAUGAAUGAUCAGGAAAUUGAUAAGUAAAAAACAAUUUAAUUAUUUCACUUAAGUCAUAAACCAUUAUGAGGAGCCUUGGAAUAUAUGCAUGAGUCUAGAUUCUCGCAGCCACUAAUCACGUAGUCAAAAUUGGCCAGUCGCAAACAUUCCAAUCAUUCUUUAUGAUAAGAAAGAAGAGUUCACUCUUCUUUUUCUCGAGUUUUUUAUUUGGAGAGAGCAAUUUAUCAGCCUCACAUUUUGAGACCUUUCUUGGCACAUCACUUUCAGAAUCUGAUUUCCUAGCUCCACUAUAGAAGUAAAGCCAGUUGGGUAUCACAUUCUUGUUUUAUGUCUCCUUGAGUGGGUCGGGUGUAUAUAAAAAUUUGCCAGUUGAAGAUUUUCUUUGUUAUGCUAGUCUUUCUUUUUCUAACCUCCUGAUAUCAAAUGGGAAAAUGCCAUAUCGUUACUGGACAAUUGACCCAUAAUGGAGAGACUUUUGUUGGUUGGACUUGGGCUUUUAUAUAACUCAGCAACUAUCAUAAUUAUAGGAGAAAUUUGAAGUAACCAUAUUGAUUUGGGUCUACCAAGAAGCAAGGUGAAUCGUAACAUAUCAUGCAUAUAACUUGAUUCAAUUAUUUUAUAUUCUACUUGUUUCUUAUGUAUUUUUACUUUUAUCAAAUAGUUUAGAUAUCAUUACCAAAUAUUCUCCUGACAUUUUCCUAUUAUUUCUGUAAGAUGCUAUAAUCUACACCCAAAGUAGUGGACCACUUACACUUUAUUAUGUACUAACCACGAUCAUAACUUACAUUCUCCACCUUGGCCUCUCUCUUAUCCCAAAAAGUAAAGACUCAGGGUUCGUAUCCCUUCCCUUCUGUCUAUAUAGGUCUAAGAGUAGUCAAGUGUUUCCUUCAAUAGCCUUCAUAUUCUUGGCAGUAACUAGGUACUUGGUUUUCAAACACAACAAAAAUAAUGGCUCAAAUUGCCAAGAUGGAGGUCCAAGCAGAGAUCAAGUCCCCUGCCAGUAAGUUCCACGAGGUCUGUAGCCGUAAAGUUUAUCUCGUACCCAAGGCUUGCCCUGAAAAAAUUAAGAGCAUUGAAGUAGUUGAAGGUGACUGGAAGACUGUGGGCUCUGUCCAGCUUUGGACUUAUUUCAUCGGUAAGGCAAAAUCCAUCAUUCCACGCCUCCCCCAACAAACACAAGGACACAGAGCUCAAUUGUACUUCUAUUAUUAUUACUAUUAUUAGGAAAUAAUGAUAAUCUAAUGGUAAUGUGACUCUACUCAUGCCGAUAUAAACCCCGUAAUCUUGAUCUCAAAUUGCUAUCAAACAAAAGAAUAUCAAAUAAAGGUAAAGUGUGUCCCCUAUAUUUAUACGUAGAUAGAUGAGUUCUAAGCUUAGCACCAUGUUUUCCAUUUGAAAAACAGGAGGAAAUACCGAAGAGGCUAAGUUGGUGGUUGAAAGGGUAGACGAGGAAAACAAAACGGUCACUAUGAACGUUGUGGAAGGAGAUAUCGUGAAGUAUUUCAAGAUCUUCAAGUGCACUAUUCAAGUAACCGUAAAGGAUAAGGGCAGCUUGGUGACAUGGAGUGUGGAAUAUGAGAAGCUAAAUGAGAGUGGCCCCGCUCCAGAUGCUUACCUCAACUUUGCAAUGGGUAUCGUUGAGAACGUGGAUGCUUACCUUCUCAAGGCAUGACAACAAAGGCGUAUUCAUGAGUCAUGACAUGGUAUGAAGCACUGGUACAACAAAAACUUGGGAAUAAUGUACCACACGCCAUGUCCUCAACUUCUACUGGUCAUCGCUAUAAUAUUAAAAGUAACUUCUUAUUCUACUUAUAUACCUUCCAAGUACUUUGUGUCUUGAAUGUUAUUAUCUAAAAAUAAAAAUAGAAAAUCUCGAAGAAGAGCAUUGUCCUUCGACACUUUUCUUUCUUUCUUUCUUUCUUCACUGCUGAGAAUCUCAACGUACGACUACCAUUUGCAUUAUGGACCCAUGACUGCCAUCCUUUGACCACAUUUGUUGCCCUCCCACCAAACUCCUACGCGUCAAAAUUUCUAUUGUUGCUUGAACAAUAUUUUCAUUUGAAAAACAAGGAAACGAUUUAAAAAUUCUUAUCUCAUGUCUAGUUACCCCGGUCGACCAUAUAAAGUACCACUUGAUCACUCUAGUCUCCUUUGCUAGCCCAUGGGCAAUGCAAUACCCAGCAGGUCCCAGUAACCAACUCUAUGUUCCUCCGAAAAUGAAACAAAUCAGGUCGUUUCAGGGAUGCAUUUGAUCUCACCCUUUUGUUUUGUGUCCGUUAUUUUUUAUUUUAAUAUCACAUGUUUAUAUUUUAAUCUCAUUCUUUACACCUGGAUUUGCUGAUAAAGGCAACUUUCUUUUUGAGCUUUGAUCGAGAUUUUUAUGAAAUUCCUGUGAUAUUACCGUCCUGCUCCUGCUUAAGAAUGUAACUUUGAUUUUGCUUUUAGUGAAGUCUUUAGGUGUUGUUUAUUCCCCAAAAUCUUUUGAUGUUUCUGAAAUUGCUUCAGUGGACUUUGAGAGGUUGCAGGUACCUCUUUUCUCCUGAAAUAGAAUUUGUUUCAGUGGAGCAAGACAACAGGAUGAGCAAAAAAUAGAACCAAUUUUAUUGAUAUAUAUCAGGUUUUUGAGACGUUGAAGAACAUUUCUAACAACUUUUUUUGAUGGGUGACCAAGCCUAUUAUGCCACAAUGCAUAUACAGAACAAGAAGAAAAAGAAGCAGGUGUUGGAACUACAGAAGAAUUGUAUACUAAGGGUUGUGUUGACAUACUGACAUAUGACUUAUGAGGAGUUGAGGGAGAGAAGCUGCCACUGAUUAUUAAUGAGAUCAAUUUGAGACUGAUAAAAAACAUAAAGACCAUCUUUAGGCCUACCCCUCCAGUAGCACUGUUUUGAAGUGAAAUUCAAAGAAGACAUUCUUUUGGGCAAAUUUUGACACACUGAGAAGGUUCUAAUUAGCAAUUUCAGGGACAUGAAGUGUUUUAAAGAGUAAUUUCAGCAAACAUAACUUCAACUUUACAUCCACCUGACCUCAUUAUUUCAGUUUGACAAGAGGGCUUAAUUAUAUCAGUAUGACUGCUAAGAAGACUUUGGAAUAUUAUAAAACGAGUCCAUCAAGUUCAAGGUUUGGAAUGGAAAGAUCAUGAGUAAUUUCACUACUUUUAAGCUGAAUAUGAGAAGGUAAAUGAGGAUGUCCCAGACCCAAUGCUUACUAAAUCAUUGAAGGUCACCUUCUUGAGGCAUAAUUCCAAUUCUUUUCAUCGAUGCUUCUUAGAUGUUAUAAAACAAUACUAUGAAAAUGAAAACGUAAUGUAAUUUUGUCAAAGCCUUUUCCUUAUUGAAGACUCUGGACUGAUUGCGUGGGUGCGCAACACCCACCAUAAUUCCCACACCAACGCCCAACUAACCAAAUCACGUAAGGCCUCACAUGGCCUCAUUAUUAUUUCUGUUGAAAGAUAAUACUAUAUUACAUACGAGAUGGCCAUUCUACCAGCCACCUGUAAAGUUGGUGAUAAAUUGAUACUAAAAAUAGAAGGAAAAUUAAGUUGAAAUUAAGGGUGUCUAUUUAAAUUUAAUUAUUCCCUAGAUAUGAUCUUUUGAUAUGAUUUGAACCCGUUAAUCAUUUAUUUUUAUAUAAAGAGACAAAAAUUCAAUUGUAUAAUCCAGGAUGAGUCACUUGGCCGGGUUUUCGACGACAGCUAAAUCAACCUUCAUUUAGUAAUGAUUGCCCAUGAAAUAAAUUAUCAUGUCUCCUCACAAUAUAAUAAACUAAUAAAAAAUAAAAGAAGAUCACAAAGAAAAGCAUCUUAGUGGAAGUUUUUUUUUUUUUUUUUUUCUUUCAUUUGUUGGUGGUGACACUCCGUGAAAUGUGAUCAACUAGCAUUUGAAUUACACAACCUAAUGCAAAUGAUAAAAAGCAUAAAUUACUUUAGAGUGUUUAGAAUUUGGAAGACUCUAGCUAGGAUGAUAUGGCAUGGGUCUGUGGCCGACAACCACCAAACCCAACGCUAAAUAAUUAUUAUUGAACCAUCAUCAUCAGUAUAAGCAACAUCAAACCUCUCCAUGUUAAACUGUACAUUUUAUUUCAUCCGGAUCUAAUAUCUAAUUAUAAAUGAUUAUGUAUGAGAUUGCAAUCCUUUGCUUAACUCUUUGAAAAUCUAAUUAUAAAUAUUUGGAAUAUCGAUUUCAUCUCUACCAUUAAAAGCAUAUGAAAAAAAUAUCUUGGUCUUUGAAUAAAAGUAAGUAUAAAUAAUUAGACUAGGGUACCAAAUGAUGAAAUCAAAUAUAAAUGAAUUAUAACCAUCAAAUUUCUAUUUUUCAUUAUUAAAUCAUUGGGCGCUCCAAUUUUUACAUGAUGUAUAACUAUUGACGGAAAUGUUAAUUAGGGAUGGCAACGGGGCUGGUUUUUUCGGGUACCCGCCCCCCCCUCCCCCCCCCCCGCCCCUAAUGGGACGGGGUUGAAAUUUAAUAAACGGGUUUUUAACGGGUAUGAGAUUUUUUUUUAAAACCAGGGGCGGGUUCGGGACGGGUUCGGGACGAGUUCGGGUAUUGCCCCAUUCCGCCCCGCCCCGCCCUGUUUACAUAUAAAAUCAAUUUUAAAAUUAAUUUUAUUUUACUAUUUUUAAUAUAUAGAUAAUAAUAAAAAAAUUAAUAAAAUAAGUUAUAAAAAAUAUAAUAAUUUUAUUAUUUAUAAAUAUAUUUAUUUUAAUGUAAUUAAAAAUUUUAAAAGUAAAUUUUUUUUUUUAUAAAAAAAAGGAGGCUAAACGGGGCGGGACGGGGAUGAGAAUUAUUUUUAAUAAACGGGGCGGGGUUGGGAUGGGGGCAACCCGUCCCGAACCCGCCCUGUUGUCAUUCCUAAUGUUAAUAUAAGGAUAUAAUAAUGGGUAAAAUUAGUUGAAAGUGUUUUUUUUAUGACAUAAAAUAAUUUUUCAAAUUUUAAUUUCUAUUUACUUUGUCUUCCCUUGUCAUGUAUCUUUGUAAUUUUCCGAUUUGUUUAUCAAAACAAUAAAUGAUGUCAUGUUAUGAUUUCUCUUUUUGUCUUCCUUUUUAAUUGACGUGUUUAUUGGAAUAAUAUAUUAUGUUAGACAAAAUAACACAUACCUCCACUGCCCAAAUCCCCUCCGUGACAAUGAACCCCAUCUUUAAGCAUUAUUAUAAAAUUAAGCAUAAAGUUAUUACAAGUUUCUUCCAUUUCACAUGCCUUUCCCAUAGAUUGAGUGGUGGAGAUGAUCAUUCUUGAACGAUUUAUAAUUUUAAUGAAUUCUGUCUAUUCUCAUAUCUUUUAAGAGGGAAUUCAAAUCAACUUAUCUUAUUUUCUCAACGCUACUUAACUUCCACGGCUUCAAAUUUACAUGAUCAUAUCAUUAUCAAUAACUUCGGCAUAACUAUUCAAAUUUUAAUAAGAACUUCAAAUCAUUGUUACCUUUAUUGCCUUAAAAAUCUUUUUCUUUGUCAAUGAUCCCUGCACGAUUAUUAAAUAAUAGGAUUGUUAUUGUCAUAUUAACUAAUUUUGAUAAUAUAGUCAUCGUCACGGCUGAGUGCCGUUUUCUUGGGAGAUUUUUCAUAAAUUUAAAUCAAUACCAGUUAUAGGAAAUGCGUCACAAAUUAGGAAGAUAUCGAGCUGGAAGCAGAUGAUAUAUAAUUCAUUAUUUUCUUCCUUAUUGAAGCUUGACAAACCAAUCCAAAUGCAUUAACGUGAGAAGCAAGGUUUUAUGCUCAUUUUCAAUGAACCUUGUCAACAUGCACGUCAAAAACAAUGAUUUAUUAACUACGUACAUGUAGAACUGCAUGGGAAAAAAAAAAUACAAUUAAGGCAUUGGGAUAUGAAUAAAACGCUUAACUUAAAAUUCAAAAUUCUCAAAACUACGUUUUUCACACCAAAAUGUUUCAUCCAGCCAACCUAAGACCGAGUGAAUCCUCCCUCUAAAGCACAUUGCCCAAGACUACAGGCAACGUAGUAAUUACCUAAGCAAAUACGUCAGAAUCAUACCAAUUUUUACCAAAGUGGGUAUCGGGAAGGAGCUUUGCCUAAUUCAUCCUUCUAUAUAUAAGGACAAGGUUAUCUACUUCUUCUCAUCACUGCCUUCUGUUUGAAUAUUUUGUAGUUAGUUUUAUCAAUCCAGCUAGUGUUAUUAUCAGAAAAACAUGGCUCUAACUGGUAAGUUGGAGACUGAAACAGAGAUCAAAGCACCUGCUGAUAAGUUCUUUAAAAUCUUCAGGAGCCAAGCACACCACCUUCCUAAUAUCUGCUCCGAUAAAAUACACAAAAUCGAGGUACAUGAAGGUGACUGGGAGACUCAGGGCUCCGUCAAGCAUUGGAGUUUGACCGUUGGUAAGGCAUCUCAAACUAAGAACCACAAAACACUAGCGUUAUAUUCUGUUAAUUAAAAUAAGUUAUUAUGUUUUUGUUUCAUUUCAUUGUUGUUUUCUUCACCUUUCAAUUAUUCUAUUAGAAUAAAAGCAUGCCUCUUUGUACAAUUUUUUUCUUGCAAAGAAGUGAUCGAGUCUGGGCCGCUAGUGACUAUGAUGGUUCUUAGGAAUGUACAUGACAUCUAAUAAUAGCUUCAACAUAUUCCAAUUAUGUUUAACCUCACAUUUUGGUUUCAACUAGGAGAGAAUUCUGAGAGUAUUAAAGAGACUGUGGAUCAAAUAGAUGAAGAAAACAGGUCCAUCACAUUCAAGGUUUUGGAUGGGGAGGUGCUGAAAGACUACAAGAGCUACAAGUUCACCACACAAGCGAUACCAAAGGGGGAGGGCUGCUUGGUGAUAUGGACCAUCGAAUAUGAGAAGGCAAGUGAGGGUGGCCCAGAUCCCCAUAACUGCCUAGAGUUUUCAGUUAAUAUCACCAAAGAUAUCGAAAGUCACCUUCUCAAUGCGUAACACCAAGGCCAUAUCCACCCUUUGCUAGUAUCUUGCUCGUAAAUAAAGUUUGGAACUUGGAAGUCCAUCUAUCUCUAUCUUUCAAUAAACGCAAAUUCCAGGUGUGGACUUGGUGAUUAGUGCCGAGAAGAUAAACUAGGUUUGCCUUGGUUAUUUGUGCAAUAAUAUUAGUGCAUGAGUGGGAUUGAUUGUAUGCUAUCUUGUCCGGGAGUUGCUUUGUGUCUUUUGUAAUGGGAUUACUACAUGUAAUGUGAAGACUAUAUGAUGCAUGGGGAAAUAAAUUAAGCGAAAACUUCCAUGGGCUCCAUCAUGAGGAGCCUUUGAGUAAGUCCACAAGCCUACAUUCUUGCAUUCUAGUCACAUGUGUCAAAAUAAGUCUCUACAAAUUAAAGUCUUAUUGUCAAAAUCCCACUUUACACAUAAUCUAAAUAAUUUAGCUAAAAUCUAAUAAGUAUGUCUCUCUUUAUAUGUACUUACCAUCCCAACUUUUAAAUUUAGGGAUAUCUAUGUAAUUUAGAUUUUAAAAAGAAAAUUUUAGGGAUAUUUACAAAGAUAAAUGAAAUAUUUUUGGUUCCGAUAACCAUUAUUUUUAUCUCAUUUUGGUUUCUUUGCGUUAUAAAAAAAAUGGUUUGUAGAGAUAAACUAGAGAAAAAAAAAAAUUAUACAAUGGUUUGUAGAGAAAUUUGAUUCGAAAAGUUAGAAAAGAUGAUUUGUUUUUUGCAUUUGCUUCAUUCUAAAAUUCAAUCACUAUCUUUUAUCUCAUUUUGGUUUCCCCACAUUAUCAAAAAAUGAAGGAUAAAAAUAAACUGGGGAAAAAAUUAUACAAAGGUCUCCGAGAACUUUGAUUUGAAGAGUUAGAAAAGAAGAAUUUUUUUGCAUUUGUUUCAUUUUAAAAUUCAAGGUUUUUGGAUUUCUAUUAUAUAUUAAUUAUGAGGAUAGUAGAAUAAUAAUAAUAAUAAACAAAAACUAGUUAUUAGUGACCUUGAUCAAUAGAGUAUAAGUUGUUGACCUUUAUUAUCUUUGUUAGAAGUAGUUAACGAUGCAAUGUAACCUUAGCCAAUAAAGAUGUUUUGAUAUACAUUGAUUGAAAAAUGUCCUUUUAAAACUAGUUAUUAUUGACCUUGGUCAACACAGAGGAUAAGUUGUUGACCUUUAUUACCCUUGUUAGGAGUAGUGAACGGUGUAGUAUAACCUUAGUCAUUAAGGAUGUUAUUAGCCUUUUGCUAUAUCAUUGAUUGAAAGUUGUCCUAUCCACCAAUAAGGAGAAUGAAGGCUAGCCACCAAGUACUAGUUUUAGUAUUUUGGCACAAUAUUAUUACUAGUGAGUCAAAGUGAAAUAUUUGUUGAUAAAACUUUUUUAAUAUGAAUUGAGUAAGCAAAAUAUAUUAUUUAAUUCUAUCAUUAAAUUGGAAGUGUUUAAAUUUUCAAAAACAAUUAUUUUAAUUAUUGAAUCAAAUGAGCUUACAUGUUAAUAGACUUUUAUAAAGAUGUGGUAUCUUCCGAAAUUUUAUUAUAUAUAAUAAUUGAUCUUCCUUAUACUAACUUUUAUCAUUGAGCCAUCGAGUUCACUUUUCUCUGUUAUUCUCCAUUUCAAUUAUAAAUGAUAUAAAGAGGGAUGAGGUAAGAAAAAUAUUUCUAUUAGAGACAGCUUUGGAAUUGAUUUAUUUUAGGAUUAUUUACUAGACUGAAUUCAUUUAUAAUUUCUAAAUUUCUUUUUGAAGAAUUUGAGAAAAUUAAAUUAAUUAUUGAGAGAUUUUAAUUAGUUUUAAAUUUGUUACUUAAAGUCGUUCACAUGUUGGAUUCUAAUAUUUGAUACGUGAAACUAGCAUGAAGGGCUUGACCUCCGGGUUUGGGGCGUCGCAGCUGACUUUAGAUUACAGAAUUAUUAAUCAACCUACCAAUCUUCAAAGCAAUCUAGGAUGCAAUAUGGUUUUGUGAUUUAAGAUCAAGUGGACGCUUCAUUUAUUAUGUCUUCAAAAAAACAUUUUGGGCCUCAAUUCGAGAUUAUCAGAUAUGGAUUCUAACAGUUGCUUCCAAUCAAAUCAGUGUCACAGAAAUCGCUACCAUUGUGGUACCUGAAAAAAAAAAAAAGAGACUCCUUCCCUUAAUAUUGAAAUUUAUCUGAAGCUAUGCAGUAAAUAAAUGCCCCAUUUUGUGCGUCAUAAUGGGGGAUCACAUUCAGAAUCUUCUGCACAUGCAAAUUAAAAUCAAAAUCAAGCCAUUGGCCUAUCACAUUACCAUUUUUGGCCCUUUUGUUUUGUUGUUUUUUUCUUUUUUUGGCGUGUAUAUAAAAAGCAACCACAUUAUCCAACUUUUAUUGAAAACACCAUAUUAUCAGAUACAAAAACGCCACAUCAUUAUUAUUGAAAAUUAAAUUCCCAUAUAUAGAAAGCCACAUAAAAUUCAGUGCCAAUCACAAACAUUCGUUGAUAUUCACUAGGAUAGAGAUAGAGUGCCCAUAUAUGGACAGUGCACCAUACCCGCCGUGAAGUGAUUGGAAGAGUGUGGACUAUGUCAAGCUCCGGACUUAUUUGUAUAGGUAAGGCAACGCUAACCAUUAUUAUUCCCAUGCCACCCUCAAUCAAGCACAGUCAUACACUCGGCACAUGGCACUUCUUGUUUUUAAUUAUUAUCAUAGUGAACAAUGUUUUCAUAAUCGGAUCGAUCAUCGAACCGAAAAAGUUAUCGAUUUACAGUCCAUUAGUCGAACCGACGGUCGAACCAAUAACAUCAUAAAUAUGUAAUUUAUAUAUUAUUAAAAUUAAAAAUAAUUAUACAAAUUUUAAAAUAUAUAUGAAUAAAUUAAAAAUCAAUAAUAUUAUUUUGUAUCUUUAAUAUUAUCAAAUUAAAUCAUAUUAAUAUUUUAAAUUUUAUUGAAUGAAAUAUAUAUAAUAUUUAAAUAUGAAUAUAUUAAAAAUGAAAAUUUAAUUAAACUAAUUUUAUAAUUUUUAAAAAUAUUAUAUUAUUUUUAUUUAAUAUUAUAAAAAAAUUUAAAAUCCAAUAUAUAUUAUUUUGUUUGGCAUAUUAAAUAAUAAAAGAUGUAUAGCCGAGUGGUCCUAGGUUGGUUAUAGACCUUGAGGUCCAAGUUCAAAUCCUUUGGUGGAUUUGUUAAUUUUUUUUUUCAUUGAUUAGGUUAGUUAGCAAUCCCACACUAAGAGGAAUAAGGAUGCUUAUAAAAGCUAGCCUCAUUAUGGGCAAAGGCAUCACCUCAUCUGGUGGGCUUAAGACUCAGCCCAUAAAAUGGUUGGGUGCGGUGUGGGCUUUGUCACAUUAAGACAGGGCCCAUCAUGGGCUUUUGCUAAAUUUUUUUAUACAAGGGAGCCUUCCAUGCUUGCAAAAUGGUGGGAUAACUUGAACCGAUCGAUUCGCUCAAAACCGUCUGAUUUCGUUGGGUUAUCGAUUCAAUCAUCGAUUUAGGUGAUUUGUGACCGGUCCAAUGCUUAGACGGUUUAAUAAAGUAAAUCUAAUAAAAAAUGUGAUGGAUCGACGAUUGAACCAGUUGGAUCAGUCGGUCCCACCCGAUUUUUAAAACAUUAGAUAAUAACAAAUUAAAAGAAGGGUGUCUCCUCAUAUGAGUUUUUUUGAAGUUCUCUACUCUUGGAGUGACUGAAAGGAUAACUGCAGCCUGGUGAGAUGGACUUUGGAAUAUGAGAAGUCAAAUCAGAGGCUCCUUCCUCCAGAUGCUUACCUCAGCCUUGUAAGCAUGAGUAAAGAUAUGGAUGGUUUACCUUCUCAAGGCAUAAACCGCAUAACAGCAAGGCCUAUAUCCUUGACUUGGUCUGAAAGCAUCCUAGCUUGGGUCCUUCUGGGAAUGGGAUUGCCACACGUAUGACCUCUGUAUCAUCAGUUUUGGGGCAAAAUAGCCAUUUUAUGUAUAAAAAAAAAUAAGCUUUAGCCCUUUACAAAACUUAUGUUUAAACUAGCUCACAUAGAGUCAUGUCAUCAUUUUUCUUUUAAACUCAAUUAGACUUUAUUUUUUAACUGAAACUUCAAUUACCAAUUGAGAAUUCAUUUUUUAACUAAAACUUCAAUUUACAAUUGAGGUUUUAGUUAACUUUGUUUUAAAUUUAAAUAAAAAAUUAAAUUAUAAAUUAUUAUUGAAAUUUAAAAAAUAUAUUUUAAUAAUAAUAAUUUAUAUAUUUAAACUUAAAUAUCUAAUAUUACUUCAAUAAAGAUAAAUUGACAAAUAUAAUAAUAAAUAAAUAUUUUAUUUAUCAAUAAAUUAAUAAUUUUAAAAUAAUAAAGUUAUAUGAAAUCUAAAUAAGAUAUAAAAUUAUAUAAUUUGUUAAUUUAAGAUAUUUAAUUUUUUGUAUUUUUAAGAUAUUAAUUUAUUUGUAUUUUGACAAAUUUAUCUUUAUUAAAAUAAUAAUAUAUUCUUAAGUUUCAUAUAUAGAUUUUUUUAUUAUUUUAAAGCAUAUAUUUAUAGUUUACGUAAAAAAAUACUAUUAUUUGUACAUACAAUAUAUAUGCCUUGAAGAUACAUUUUGAAAUUAGUUAAUAAAAUUAAUUAGAAAAAAGUCUACUAUAAAAUUUAAUUUUUAAUAGUUUCAUCAAAGUCACAAAAAAUACUCAUUAAAUAUUUAUAUUAUGGAAAAAAAAUGCCCCUCCCUAAUAUUACAUGUGAUAUAACUUAAAUUAAUAAAUUGUAUAAUUUUAUAUUUUAUUUAUAUGUCAUAUAAUUUUAUUAUUUUAAGAUUAUUAAUUAAUUGAUAAAUAAAAUAUUUAUUUAUUAUAUUUAUCAAAUUAUCUUUAUUGAAGCAAUAUUAGAUCUUUAAGUUUAAAUAUAAAAUUUUUUAUUAUUAAAGUAUAAUUUUUUAAUUUCAAUAAUAAUUUAAAAUUUAAUAUUUUUAAUUAAAUUUUAAAGUAAAAAAAUAAAAUAACUGAAGUUUCAAUUGACAUAUCUUAUUUAGAUUUCAUAUAAUAUUAUUAUUUUAAGAUUAUUAAUUUAUUUAUAAAUAAAAUAUUUGUUUGUUAUUAUAUUUAUUAAUUUAUUUUUAUUGAAGUAAUAUUAGAUCUUUAAGUUUAAAUAUAUAAAUUAUUAUUAUUAAAAUAUAUAUUUUUUAUUUCAAUAAUAAUUUAUAAUUUAUUUUUUAAUUAAAUUUUAAAAUAAAAUAAAAAUUUUAACUAAAACCUCAAUUGUCAAUUGAGGCUUUAGUUAAAAAAUAAGUUUCGAUUGACAAAUGAUACUUCAAUUAAAAAAUGAAGUCUUAGUUGGUAAUUGAGACUUCAACUUAAAUUUUAAAAAAAAAAAAUUAUGACAUAACUCCUAUAUGUGAUAAUAAAGGAACUAGUUUAAACAUAAGUUUUAUAAAAGGGUUAAAACUUAUAUUUUUUUCUACAUAAAAAACUAUUUUGCCCUAAAACUCCCGUAUCGUCGACUAGCUACUGCUUUACUCCAUGUAACAUCUUGUCUACUUAAUUAUAUGAACUUCCUGAAUUAAUGCUGGAAUGACAAACCAAGUUUUAUUGAAAAUGGAAACCUUCUUAGAAUCAAACAUUUGCUCGAACAAAUUUCGCAAUAAAAAGAGGAGAGUUGUGAAAAGAAGCAUUUUUCCUGCAGCCAAUUACCUUUUCAUACAUUACUUUAAAACAAAUUAACAAAUAGUGAUCUCAUAUUUUACCUUUUCUGUUGCAGAUUACUUUUAAAAAUAUUCUCUCCACAGGCACUCCUACGGAAUCUUUCUCCAAAUCAAACUGUACAUUUUACUCAAAUUUUAAUAUCUAAUUAUAAAUAAUUAUGGGUGAGAUUGCAAUCCUUUGCUUAGCUCUUUGAAAAUCUAUGAUGAUACUCGGUAUUAAUAUUUUAUUUUAUUAAAGAUAAAAAUAUCAAAAUAAUUUUAGAACUUUUUAGUGGGGAUAAUACUUCCCCAUUAGGCUGCUUACAAGGCAUAAAUUAAUAUUUUUUUAAUUUUAAUAAAAGCAAUUUGGUACAGUUGACUUGAUUGAUAACUAUUUAAGAUAGGAUUUAGACUAAUUUAGAUUAAUUAGAUUGCAUUUACAGUUCCGUUACCUCGAAACAAAGUUGGUGCAACAUUAACCAUGAUUAUGGUGAUAUAUUUUAGUUUUAUAUUUUUUAAGGGGAUAAUUUUUUUUUUUAAUGGUUUGAUGUUAGCUUAUAAGAAAAACCUAAACCAUAAAAGCCGAAUCUUUCCAAUAUUGAUCCAAUUUCUAUCAUUAAAAAUAUAUGAAUAAAACUUUUGAUCCUUAAAUAAAAGUAUACAAACUAUCGUACAAAAUAAUGGAAUCAAAUAUACAAAAUAAGAUUAAGGAAAUGUUUGAUAAAACUUAAUAUUUAUUAUUUAAUAAUUUAAAUUAACUCUAAGUUAAAUUAUAUUUAAGUUGUUGACUUAAAACUUAUUAUUUAAUUUUUAUUUUAAGUAUUAAGGUUAUUUAAAAAAAUUAACUUACAAUUUAUAUUAAAUCAUCAAAUUAAAAUAUUUAUCUUAAUAAAUUAUAACUAAGACAAAUAAGGUUAAAUAACAAUGGAGGUUGUGAAGUCAUAAAAGAGAUCAUAAAUGUAAUUGAGAGAAAAAAAGACAAAAAUAUAAAAUGAAGAUACUGACUUAAAAAUAAAUAAAUUUUUUUAUUUAUUAAGUCUUUUAUUUUAAGUCAUACAAUAAAAUUAUUUUAUCAAACAUAUUUAAUUUAUUUAAUAAUAUAAUUAAAAUAUUAAGUCACUUAAAGUUAUUAAAUUGGUUUACCAAACACGUACUAACGUACAAAUAAAUAAGACUAAAAUAGAAAACAAUGAAACUUAAACACAUAUAUGACAUGGUCUAUUUAAUUGUAUUUUUUUAUAAAUGCCUCUUUAAUACUUCCCAAAUCAUAACAUUAAAUUUCUUAAAUUGAUAUAAAACAUUUUUUUUUUUCUANNNNNNNNNNNNNNNNNNNNNNNNNNNNNNNNNNNNNNNNNNNNNNNNNNNNNNNNNNNNNNNNNNNNNNNNNNNNNNNNNNNNNNNNNNNNNNNNNNNNACAUAUAUGACAUGGUCUAUUUAAUUGUAUUUUUUAUAAAUGCUCUUUAAUACUUCCAAAUCAUAACAUUAAAUUUCUUAAAAUUGAAUUAUAAACAUUUUUUUUUUCUAUGAUUGAAUCAUUUAGCACUCCAAGUUUUACUAUUGGACGAAAUGUUAAGGAUCUAAUAAAUGGGUAACAUUAAUUUGCUGAAAUAGUUUUUCUUAUUACUUAUAAUGGUUUUAAGAAUGUUGAAAAAAAAAUUCAUGGGAAAACAUUUAUCAAACUCAAAUUUUGAUUCCUAUUUACUUUAUCUUUCCUUGUCAUGUCUCUUUCUAAUUUUCCUUUUUUAGCGGUUUGUUUAUUAGAACAGUAUAUCAUGCCUGUGAUUCUCUUUCUAUCACUUCUUUUCAAUUGAUUUGUUUAAUGCAAUAAUAUUUGUUUAAUGCAAUAAUAUAUCAUGUUAGACAAAAUAACACCUACCUACUACCCAAAUCCCCAAUGUGACAAUGAACUCUAUCUUUAAGCAUUAUUAUAAAAUUAAACGUAAAGGAUAUUAUAAGUUUCUUCCAUUCCACGUGCCUUUCCCAUAUAUUGAAAGGUGGAGGUUAUCAUUUUUAAAAGAUCAAUAAUUGUAAUGAAUUUUCCAUUCCACGUGCCUUUCCCAUAGAUUGAAAGGUGGAGGUGAUCAUUUUUAAAAGAUCAAUAAUUUUAAUGAAUUUCAUAUAUUUGCAUAUUUUUUAAGAGGGAAUUCAAAUUAACUCAUCUUAUUUCUCAAUGUUACGUAACUCCUGCCUCAAAUUAAAAUCAUCAUAUCAUUAUGAACAACUUUGAUACAACUAUUCAAUUUUUAAUAUGAAUUCUUUCAUUCUCAAAUCAUUGUUCAAGUUAGCUUUAUUAACUUAAAAAAACUCAUUCUUUGUCACUACUCCCUCUAUGAUUAUUAAAUGAUAAAAUUGUCAUUGUCUUAAAAACUAAUUUUGAUAAUAUAUUCAUCAACAUAUUUACAAAUUUAAAUUAAUACAAGUUGUAAGAAAUGUAUCAUAAAGAAGAUACAAAACUAGAAGUAGAUGAUAAUUAAUUAUUUUUUUUCUUUAUUGAACUUUGACACCCCAUCCAAAUGCAUUAACGAGAAAAAUAGUGUUUUAUGCUUGUUUUCAAUUAAUCUUGUCAAUAUGUACAUGAAAAACAAUGAUUUAUGCUUAUAAAUCUUAUCAAUUCGCUUAUUUGUAUAUGUAAAAUGAAAUUAUUGAAACUACACGUAGAAUUGCAUGAGGAAAAAAAUACAACUACUGCAUUUAUAAAUGAAUAAAAGCUUGGCUUAAAAUUCAAAAUUCUCAAAACUAUGUUUUCCACACCAAAAUAUUUCAUCCAGCCAACCAAACACCGAUUGAAUCCUCCCUCUAAAGCAUAUUGCCCAAGAUUACAGGCAACGUAGUAAUUACCUAGGCAAGUACGUCAGAAUUAUAGCUUCUUUUUUUUUUUUGUUUUUUUUCAGUUCAUUGACUCGGCUCCACCCAACCACUAUCAGUAUCAGUUACUACCAGAGAGGGUACUGGGUACUGGUUACUGGGCAGGAGCUUUUCCAAAUUCACAACCCGUCUUCUUUAUAUAAGGGCAAGUUUAUGUAUUUCCUCUCGCCAUUGCCUUUUGUUCGAAUCAUUUGAAGUUGAUUUUAUUAAUCCAUCAGAAAAACAUGGCUCUAACUGGUAAAUUGGAGAUUGAAACAGAGAUCAAAGCACCUGCUGAUAAGUUCUUUAAAAUCUUCAGGAGCCAAGCACACCACCUUCCUAAUAUCUGCUCCGAUAAAAUACACAAAAUCGAGGUACAUGAAGGUGACUGGGAGACUCAGGGCUCUGUCAAGCAUUGGAGUUACACCAUUGGUAGGAUAUGCAACUCGAACUCAGAACCCCAAAACACUAGCUAGCAUUAUAUUCCGUUAAAAUGUUUUUUGAUUUUUUUUCCCCAUUUCAUUGUUGUUUUCUUCACAUUUUUUUAUUCUUUUAGAAUAAAUGCAUGGCUCUUUGUACAAUUUUUCUUUUUUUCUUGCAAAGAAGUGGUCAAGUCUGGGCCGCCAGUGACUAUGAUCGAUGGUUCUUAGUAAUGUAUAUGGCAUCUAAUAUUAGCUUCAACAUAUUCCAAUUACUAGGAGGGAAUUCUAAGAGCAUUAAGGAGAGUGUGGAAUCAAUAGAUGAAGAGAACAGGUCCAUUACGUUCAAGGUUUCGGAUGGAGAGGUGCUGAACGACUACAAGAGCUACAAGUUCACCACACAAGCAAUACCAAAGGGAGAGGGCUGCUUGGUGAAAUGGACCAUUGAAUAUGAGAAGGCAAGUGAGGAUGGGCCAGAUCCCCAUGACUACCUGGAGUUUGCAGUUACUGUCACCAAAGAUAUCGAAAGUCACCUUCUCAAUGCAUAACACCAAGUCCAUACAUACCGUCUGCUAGUAUCUCUAUUAAAUAAAGUUUGGAACUUGGAAGGGCAUCUACGAUCUCUAUCCUUCAAUAUAUGCGAAGGCUUAGGGGAACUUUUAGCAGCUGUGGCUUGGUGAUUAAUGCUGAGAAGAUAAACUAGGUUUCCCUUAAUUAUUUGUGUAAUAAUGUUAGUGCAUGCGUGUAAUCGGUUGUAUGCUUGUCUGGACUCUAGGGGUUGCUUUGUGAUUGUUAAUUGGUGUCUUUUGUAAUGGGAUUACUACAUGUUAUGUGAAGACUAUAUGAUGUAUAAGGAAAUAAAGUGAAAAUUACCAGGGGCUAACUCCAUCAUGAGGAGCCUCUGAGUAUGUCCACAAGUCUACAUUCUUGCAUUCUAGUCACAUGUGUCAAAAUCAGACCCUAACAAAUUACAGUCUUGAUCAUUGAAGGGGUAAAAUCCCACUUUACAUAUAAUCUAAAUAAUUUAGCUAAAAUCUAAUAAGAAUAUCUCUCUCUACAGGUAUGUAACCUUCCAACCUUGAAUUUAAGGAUAUUUAUAUAAUUUAAAAUUAUAAAAAGAAAAUUUUGGAUAUAGGACAAAUUAAUUUUUUUUUUAAAAAAUAACGAAAGUGAAUGAAAUAUUUUUGGUUCCUAUGACCACCCACUUUUUUUACUUUUUAUUUUUAUCUCAUUUUAGUUUCUCCACGUUAUAAAAAAAUGAAAAGAUAAAAUAGAGAGGAAAAAAGACAACUUGGAUUUGUAGAAGUUUCUUUCUUUCAUGGUGUUUUUCUGUUCUGUUUUUGCCUUUGUUUCAUUCUAAAAGUCACUCACUAUCUUUAUCUCAUUUGGGUUUCCCCGCGUUAUCAAAAAAUGAAAAUAUAAAACAAAGAGGAAAAAAAAACCUAUACAAAGGUCUUUGGAAUUUUGAUUCAAAGACUUAAGAAAAGAAUAAUAAAUUUUUGCAUUUGUUCCGUUCUAAAAUUCAAGGUAAGUUUUUCACAUAUAAUUUUUUUUUAGGAAUUCUAUUAUCUAUUAAUUAUGAGAAUAGUAAAUAUAUAUAAUAAUAAUAAUAAUAAUAAUCAUCAUCAUCAUCAUCAUCAUCGUCAUCAUCAUUAUCAUUUUAAAACUAGUUAUUAGUGAUCCUAAUCAAUCGAGAACAAGUUGAUUUUCAUUACCCUUGGUAAUGGUAGUGAUAAAAUAUAUUUUUAGUUAAUAAGGGUGUAAUUAGCUUUGGGGUUUCAUUGAUUAGAAAUUAUUUCAUCUACUAGUAAAAAAAACAAAGUAAAACUAACCAUCAAGUGCAAAUCAUGAAUUUUUUUAAAUAUGAAUUGAGUAUACAAAGUAUAUUAUUUAAUUAUAUAUUUAAAUUGAAAGAGAUUAAUUUUUCAAAAAUAGUGAAUUUAAUCAUUGAAUCAAAUCAACUUACCUGUUAUAAAGAUGUGAUAUGUUCCAAAAUUUAGUUGUAUACAAUACGUGACCCUUCUUAUUAAACUAUCCUUUAUCAUUGAGCUAUCUAACUUACCUUUCUCAAUUAUUAUCCUUUAAGGUACAUCAAAUAUUGGUAUAAAUGAGAAGAGAUCGAGAUAUGAAAAGUAUUUCAAAUAGAAACAUCUUUAGAAUAGAUUUAUUUUUUAGGAUUGUUUACUUAGAUCAAGUUUAUUUUAAUUUCUAAAAUGUUUUUUUAAGUGUUUGAGAGAAUUAAAGUUAUUAUUUAGAUAUUUUAAUUAGUUUUGGAUUUGUUUGUUAAGGUCAUUCAUACAAAGAUGAUAUCCAUUUCUGUGUUAUAUUUUAUUUUAUUUAUUUAUUUCUUAUUUCAUGUAUUAAGUUUGAUAAAACUGAAGGUGAAAUCAACAUUGAAUUGCUAAAAAUGUCAAUUACUAUUGUUAAUUUAUCACAAUUAUGAUUUUUUAAUUGUAGCACAUAGUAAAAUUAUUAUUAUUAUUAUUAUUAAUAUUUAUACUCUGGUCGAACUUAUCCAUGGCCAAUCCAUCAUGUAGGCCAAUUUUGUCAAACUUAUCCAUGGCCCAUCCAUCAUGUAGGCCAAAUUUUUAUUAGCAUUUUUGGGUCAUAACUCUAGAUGCUGACAUUAAAGCAUUUCUGGCAUAAUAAUUAUUGGAAAAGGAUGUCUCCUCUUUCAUGGAUCACAACCAAUACAGCAAAGAUGAUGAUAGAUAGCAUCCUUAUCACCUCAUGUGUCUUGACCUCUUCUUCAAGCUUGAGUGUCUUGUCCUAUAUUUAACGCAUGUACCAUUGCCUCCAAGAUAUGGUGACAGGAAUUAUAUAGCUACUGACUAGCUAGUCUUCACUCCAAAAAUAUGAUGGCCACUUUUUUGAAAUAUAACUCUUUAUCCUAUUGACUUAAACUCACCACCUCUUUCAGAUCCUCCACAAGGAUCAACUUAUUAAGAGUUUGGUCGAAGUUUGAUCCACUUUUCUAAAUGAGCAAUGUUAAAUUAUUUUAUUCAAACAAAUUUGAUGAUCAAAUAUCUCUUAUUUUCUCAAAUUUAAAUAACAUUCCUUUAUAAAAAUAAUUAUAAAAUUUAUUAUAAUCACUCAUUUUCAAUGGCUCAUUAGUAGAUGUUCAUUGUAUUAAAAUACAUUUAUAUGAUUAAGAAAAACUUAUACAUUUCUAUUUUUUUUUUCUAUGCAUAAUUUAUAAUAUCUCAUAUAGGAUUUAUUGGGUUUAGAAACAUGUAAUAUUUAUAUAAUAGUGAGUGAAUUAUUAUAAAUGGUAUGAAAAUUGAUUUUCAACCCUUUAUGAGAAUUUAUUUAAUACUACAAUAUAUGACUCUAUGUUUGAUUAUGUAAUCCUAUAAGACACGAUGUCCAUUAAGUUCAUUAUAUUAUUUUUAAUUAUGUAAAAAUAUUUUAAAAUUAAAAAAAUUCAUUAAACUUAGUGCAGACGCUAUCUAUAUAAAAGGAAAUAAAUGGUUAUACUUCAUCAUAUUCGUUUCUCAUAUUUGAUAUAUAUCAAUUUCAGCGACUAUUAUUCAACAUUGCCCGAAGCAAUAGGUGCCUCACUUUUACAAAGAAAACUUCCUCUAUUGAUAUUUCUCAAAUAUAAAUUCAUGUCAUGGACUCAUGGUUAACAACCGAUAGAUCCUAAAACAAUUAGAUAUCUCAGAUAUUGAUUGACCAAAUGGACAACCGAUGCUAUAGUAAGAGCUGUUGCUGUUAUCUUUUAAUUUAAAUAUACACAAACGACAAAAUGCUUAACUAAUCCACCACCCAGGCGCCGGGCCACAGAAAUGAAAUACCGCCUACCCCAACAUUUUGGAAUUAAAAAUCUACACCACCCAGAUCUUGCUGUGAUUUGGUAAAUCCCGAGAAAUUGACAACCUUCCUACGCUGGGGAGGCGUGGUUCCAUUCAAUGCCAACAUUUUCGGAUGGGUCCAGAGAGUUGUACAGUGACUUUUAAAUAAAGAAUUGUUUUAAACCUUGACUUUGGGCUCUUUAUCAGGAAUAUGAAAAUAUUGGGCAAUGACUAGAUUCGAGAGCAGGUUGCAUGCAUAGAUAUCGCAUUAAUUUUUAGCAAUCGUUAUGACGAAAGAAAAUCUGCAGAACCAAGCGAAUUUUCCUAGUCAUCAUGAGAGACAUUAGACAAGGUUUUCAAUUCAUAAAAUUGCCUUAUCAUCUGGAAUUAAAUAUUUUCAAGCUAAGGAUGAGGUUCAAUCCGUACGGGGCAAUGAAAAUAUAUGGAUGCCCUAUAGAGUGGUUGAACAUUCUACAGUUUCGUCCCUAUUUAUAGAAGAAGAUGAAAUUUUAAGCAAUUUGCUUCAAUGCAAUUUUAGCAUAUUUCAGCUAGUCAUAGCAACGUCUAAUUUCGUUGAUGUAGAAGAAGCUAACACCAAAGAUUCAUCUAGGUAGAAAGAAGUAUCGAGCAUGUAACUAACCGCAGAACUCACAUCUAGGGACCCUAUUGUAAAUAUAACAGGUGAUGGACAUAAAGAUAGAUAUGAGUAAAAGAGUGGAACAUAAAAUCCAAAUUUCAAAAGUAUGAUAGUUUUUUAGUGUUUCUUUGAAUCUCGUAGGAAUUUAGGUCAUUUUCAAUCUCAUCCAUGAGACAAGGUACAAUAAUUGUUGAAGAAUAAGAGUAUUGUUGGGCAGUUCGGCGAGCUAUAUAUAAAGAGAGAGACUUCUUAACCAUAUAAAUAUUAUCCUCUAUAACUCUAAAUUUUUUUUUCCUUUAUCCAAUAUAAAAUAUCACAAUCACUUUUAUGUAUGCACUCUUUUUAAUCACGUCGCAUAAAAUUACACCAUUUUCAAAGCUAAAUAAACUCCUAUAUAGGGGUCAUAUAUUGACUUCAAUACUCUUUGAAACGACUCACACUUAAUCAUAUAAACUCAUUAUAAUAAUGUAUUUCCUAAUUUCAUGGAAUUUCAAUAAAAUAUUUAUUACUUUCAAAUGGGAAUUAGAGAGGAAUGUUGUCUAGCUAACUCAUAAUUCUUCUUUAUAAGUUCAAAUUAGGUAUUUACUUCUUCCUACCAUUACCUCAUAUUUUGAUUGUUUCUUCGUUAAUAUAUAGUUGGUUAAACUAAUAAACUAGAGGUUAGGAUGGAGAUCAAUUUAGAUUAUGUUUGUUUUGAGUUUAAUAAACCCUUACGACUUUAAAAUGUGUUUAGAUAGUUAAGAGAAACUUAUACAUAUAUAAUAUUAAAAAAAUUUCCUCAUUUAAUGUGAGAUAUUAUAAUCAUCACUCAUGUAGACAUAAUAUAUUUGUUGUAAGUCAGAAGAUUGUAAAACCAAACAAAUUUUUUCAUUGAAAUAUAAUAUUAUUUGUAAUGGUUCACUUUCUCUCAUGGAUCCCAACUCCAUUAGGUUCUUCAUGAAGCUUGUUUCAGUUUAUUAACCACCGAUGUAGCAAAGAUGAUGAUAAGUAGUAUUUUUGUUUCUCAUAUGUUUUCAGACCUCAUCAAGCUUGAGUGCCUUAUCCCAUCUCUAACGCAUGUACCAUUGCCUCCAAAAUAUGUUGCCAGAUUAUACAUAAUAUCAUAAUUAUAGCUACUGAAGUCCAACGACUACCUAGCUAGUCUUCACUCCCAAAAACAUGAUGGUCACUUCUUUGAAAUAUAACUCUUAUCCUAGUGACUCAAACUCACCACCUCAUUGACAUCCGUCAUAAGAAUUUCAGAGACUCUUCAAAGUUUGAUCCACUUUUAUAGAUGAAUAAUGUAAAAUUCUUUUAUUCAAACAAAUUUGAUGAUCAAAUAUCUUUUCUUUCCUAAAAAUUAUAUUUCCUUUUUAUAAAUCUUAUUUUAAUGACCCAAUUACAGUAUGGUAGAUAUUGUUUGUUUCGAGUCCAAUAAACCCUUAUAACUUUAAAAUAUGAUUAAAUAGUUAAGAGAAACUUAUAAAUAUAUAAAUGUGAGGUCAAAUAAAUUUUCAUAUUGAGAUAAAAGAUUAACUUUAAUACUAUUUGUAAUGGUUUACUUUCUUUCAUGUAAACAUCAUCCACUUUAUACUCAAUGAAUCAUUGAAGCUUUAAAACAUAUUUACAUGAUUAAAAGAAACUCGUACAUAUAGUAUUAGAAUUUUUUUUUUCUGACCCAUGAUUUGCAAUAUAUGUAUAAAUACGUUUUAAAGUUAUGAGGAUUUAUUAAGUUCAGAGUAAAUAGUAUUUAUAUUAAAUGGAAUGACAUGUCACAUGCAAAUAAUAUCAAACUCAAUCUCCAAUUUUUAUAUAAGAGUUUGUUUGAUUUUAUAAAAAAUGUUUGUGUGUUUCAUUCUACAAUUCUGUGAGACACAACAUCCAUUUAAUUUAUUAAAGUCUUUUUAACUAUGUAAACAUGUUUUAAGUUGUUAAGAUUGAUUGGGUAAAAACAGAAGAGGUGAUUGUGUGUUUUAUCCUACAAUUCAAUGAGGCAAUGCCUAAUUGAUUCAUUGGGGUACUUUUAAUCGUUAAUGCAUGUUUCAAUGUUGCUAAGAUUGAUUGAGUGAGGAAAAUAUCUACAUAUGAAAGGCAACAGUUAGUUACACUUCAUUAUGUUUUUUUCUAAUAUAUUGAUAUAUGUCAAUUUCAGUAGUUAUUAAUUCAACAUCGCCCAAAGUAACCAAUGCCUCGCUUUUCCAAACAAAACUUUCUCUAUUGAUAUUUCUUAAAUAUAAAAUCAUGUCAUGGUAAGCAUCCGAUGGAUACUAAGACAAUUGGAUAGAUAUCUCAGAUAUUGAAUGGACCAAAUGGGGUAACGGAUGUGGUAGUAUACAAGCGCUGUAUAUCUUUUAAUUUAGAUAUACACACACAACGUAAUGCCUAAUCCAUCCAGCCGGGGGGCCGGCCAGAGAGAUAUAAAAUACCCCCAAUCCCAUCAUUUUGUAUUUUGUAUUGGAAUUAAAAAUCCAAACCCAGAUAUUGCUAUGAUUUGGUAAAUCCCGAGAAAUUGAGAACCCAUCCUGGGGGAGGCAUGGUCCCCCUAUUCAAUGCCAACCCUAUUUUCAAAUGGUGUCUAAAGAGUUGUACAGUUAACGGUGACUUUAAAAUAAAGAAUUGCCUUAAACCUUGAUUUUAGGCCCUUCUUCAAGAAUAUGAAAAUGCAUGUUGGGCAAUGAUUUAGAUUCGAAAGUGGGUUCUGCAGACAUCACAUUUCUGCAGAGCCGAAAAUAUUUACAAGCGUAGGACGAAGCUCAGUUCAGAUGGGCCUCGAAGAUGAAUUUUUAAGCAAUUUGCUUGAUACAUUCAGCAAUUGAUAAUUUAAAAUAAAAAAAAUUAGGAAAUAGAAAGUAAAACAUAUAUGGUUAAAACUUCAAUGCAAUUUUAGCAUAUUUGAACUAGUCAUAGGAGCGUUUAAUUUCUUUGAUGAAGAAGCUGAACACCAAAGAUUCAUCCAGGUAGAAAAAUGUAUUGACCAUCUAAUUGUCUGCAGAACCUACAUCUAAGUACCCCGCUAUAAAUAUAAGAGGCAACUUAGGUGAGGGACAUAUAGACACAUACGAAUGCCAUUGUAGAAUAUAAAAUCCAAAUUUCUCAAAACUAUAAGGUUAUGUUUGAAUCCAAAAAAAUAUUAGAGGAAGUGAAAAUGUUAAGAAAAAUAAUUUUUUAUGAUUAAUUUUAUUAUAAAAAAUAUAAAAAAUAAAUAUAAUUAAAAUUAGUUAGAAUUUUACAUAUUUUUAAAUUAUAUAAUUUGAAUUUAAAUAAAUAUAUAAAAAUAAGUCAUUAAUUUUAGAUCUAUUUCUUUUUUCUUUUUUUAUAUUCUCCCACAAAAUUUCAGUAACCGAACACAACCUAAUAGUUUCCACUGUUUCUUUGAAUUUCUCAACUUCAAAAUCUCUUGUCUAUGAGACCUCAGAGUAAUUAAUUCCUACCUCUUGGUGACUAGGCCAAGCGCAUGGAUAGGCACAUUGACCCACUUGUAAUUGCCUAGGCUAAUAGGCCAAGCUCAUAGCAAUUUUCCUUUUUUAUUUUUUAAUUUCGUCGUAGGACUUGGUCUCCACAAGGCACUAUAACGUAUCCCCUAAUUUCAUUUCAUGGAACUUUAAUAAAAUAUCUAUUGCUUUCAAGUGGGAACUGGAGAGCAACGUUGCCUAGCUAACUCACAAUCCUUCUAUAUAAGUUCAAGCUAGGUAUCUUCUUCCUUCCACCACUGCCCACUGCCUUGUAUUAGGAUAUCGUUUCUUAGUUAAUAUAUAGUUGAUUAAUUUCCAUCUCCAACUACUACUAUUAUUAGAAAAAUAUGGCUCUAACUGGCAAGCUAGAGGUUGAAAUGGAGAUCAAUUCACCUGCGGAUAAAUUCUAUAACAUCUUCAGGAGGCAAGCACACCACAUUCCUAAUAUCUGCUCAGAUAAAGUACACCAAAUUGAUGUACAUGAAGGUGACUGGGAGACUCCAGGCUCCGUCAAGAACUGGGGUUAUACUCUUGGUAAGGCAACCACAACUCAAACCCCAAAACCCUAGCACUAUUAGUCUGUAAAAAAAAAUGAUUUUUUUAGUUUUUCUAUUUCAUUUAAUUGUUUUUUUGUUUGGCAUUUUCCCCUUUAGAAUAUUAAUUUAACUGCAUUAAUUCGGAGUUGAUCCCAUCAUGUGGAAGUUUAUGCUUCUGUUAUGAAUACAGCUUUGUAUGCCUUCCUUAUGUUUAAUUCAACCUAAAGCAUGUAGAAUUGAUGGUCAAAGUCUAUGGGACCCUUUUUUCAUGACCGCCAUGCAUGGGGCUUUCCCAGGUGACUGCCCGCUACUAAAGGGGCCUAAAGUUUAGGUCCCCCGAGUUAGAACUUAGAAGAGGGAUUAUGAAUGAUCAGUGAAGUUGUAAGGUUUUGAUCUUCUUAGAUAUUACCUAGAAAGAGGAUUGACUUUACUUGACUUUUACCAUAUUGAUUUAGAGAUUGGCGAUUGCUUUAAAAGGUUGUGUCAACAGAAGAAAACUUAAAAAAUAUUAAGAAAAAUAAAAAAAAUGAUUUUGUUUUUAUAAAAAAAAUCAAAUAUAAUAAAAACGAGUUGAAAUUUUAUUUAUUUUUAAAUUAACUUUUAUAUAGAAGAAUUAAAAUACGUUAAGUAAAUUUGAAUCAAAAUAUAAAAAUAAUUAAUUUCUUAAUUUUAAAUUUAUUAUUUUUCUUUUAACUUCUUUUUUGUUUUUUCAUUUUCUUUUCUUUUGUAUUUUCUUCAAAUUUUUUUAGAACCAAAUAUAGUCAUUAUGAAAAGAUGGGCCACGAAGUGACUACGCAUGUCAAUUUGCUUGAGAUUUCGCAAUCUAGUAGUUUCAAAAUACUAUGCUUAACCCCUUGUUUUGGUUUGAAAUUACUAGGAGGGACUUCUAUGAGCCUUAAAGAGACUGUGGAAUCAGUAGAUGAUGAAAACAAGUCAAUCACUUUCAAGGUUGUGGAUGGAGAGAUCAUGAACCAUUUCAAGUGCUUCAAGUCCAACUUGCAAGUAAAAGCAAAGGAUGAGGGCAGCUUGGUGAAAUGGAGUCUGGAAUAUGAGAAAGUAAAUAAGGAUGUCCCAAAUCCUGAUGCUUACCUGGAGUUCGCAGUUAAUGUUACUAAAGAUAUUGAAAGCCACUACCUCAAGGCAUGACACCAAGGCCAUGUGGUAUCCUCGGUAGUAUUACUUCAAUAACGCUGGUGUUUGUAAUUUGGUUGAGUUGUAUGCUUUACCAGGAGUGGCCUUGUGAUUGGCUGGUUUCUUUUGUAAAGGCAUUAUCAUAUAUGAUGUAAAUACUGUACCUUAAAUAAAAAGAAAAUCAGCAAAGACCCUCCUUUUUAAUGUGGAUAAUUGCUUUUAAUGUCACCUUUGUUGAUCGGUUUACAAGACAAGAGUUAACAAGUAGUCCCUAUUUAUUAAAUAUAAGAAUUUUCUGUAUCCAUUAAUCAUCAUCAGUAAGCUAAUAAAAUGGCUGAUAUUUUUCUUAAUAAAAACAGCAACAGUUACUGAGUUUAUAUAUAGGACACCAGUUGCAGAUUAGAUUUCUUUGGCUUGAUUGUGAUCUUUCUACAUGUUGGAAAAAUAUUGUCAUUUGGUAUUUAAUAUCAAAUUUUAAAAAUAAUAUUUAAGAUAUGAAGAAAAAAACAUACAAUGAUUCAUAUUUUUAACUUUAAUAUGAUUUAAAGUUCAUCGAGUAACCGUUUUGAAAUCAUUCACCCUUGAUCUUCACUUUCCUAGUCUCCCUUUACACGUUCCUUAGUGGUGAGUAUGAAAAUGAUUCCAUUGAAUUGUAAGAAUGGAAAGAGGGAUAAAAAAUUCUUCUAUUUAUAAGCAUAGAAUGAUUCUUCUUAUCAGUGAACCAUUAACUAAAUACUUUAAACAUAUUAUUAAUUAAUAAUAAUAAUAAUAAUAAUUAUUAUUAGAAAAUAAAUUUCAUAAAUAUUAUAAAUUUAAAAAAGAAUCUAAUUUAAUUCUUAAAAAAUUUAUGCAUGAAAUUUUUAUAUUAUUUUUAAUUGUUUUCUAAGGGUUAUUUUAAGAAAUUAUUAUACAAACAUAUAAAAUAAUUAAAAAUAAAACAAUAGAUAUAAAAAUUAUUUUUAAAAAUAUUAAAAAUAAAUUCAAAAUAUUUUAAGUUGCCAAACAAAUUUUUUAUUCUACAAAAAUCAGAGAUAGUUUUCAAAAUCUCUUUUAAAAAACUAUUUUUCAGAAUUAUUUUAAAAAAUAGUUACCAAACAAGCCCUAAAAGAUUUAUAUAUAUAUAUAUAUAUGAAAUUAAAAAAAUAUCAAAUAAUAAAAAUUCAAACAAUGGUAAGGGUGUCACUAAUGAUCGGUUUGGAUUUAAACUAACAUUUUUUUAUAUUGAGUAAUUUAUUUUUUAUUCUAUAUAUUAGAAAAUUGAAUUUAAAUGUAACUUUUUCAAAUAAAAUAGUUAGAUCACACUUGAUAUAUAGUAAUAAUUUUUUAAAAACUAAUGGUCAUAAUUUAAAAAAAUGAUGAAAAAAAAAUCUCAAAUAUAUUGCAUAUGAAUGUAUAUAUUUAGUUUUAUACAACAUGUUAGACAUAUAUUAGUUAUUAACUUAUUAUAAUCUACUAAAAUAUUAAUUCUAUACGAGGGGAUUAGAUUUCUCAUUGUUGAUUUUAUAACCCUCAUUGUGGGAUUAUAAAAUGUCAUUGCAAUCACUCCCAAUUUAGUCUAUGCAAAUCAAAUAUAGAAAUGCAAUUUAUCUCUGUCACAAUUUGUUACACAAUAAUGAUAAUGGAUAAUAAAUAAAUAAAUAAAUAAAAUUAAAGAACACACAUUUAUGUAUAAAACUUUAGAUGAGAAAAAUCAUGGAUAAGGAAAAUGAAUAUCCAAUAUAUCAAAAGAUUGGUAUAAAAGAUGAGAAAUAUAAACAACUAUGAUAAAAAUAUAAUCAUCAUAACCUUAAAAUUAUGUGAAAGUAAUUAACAAAGUAGGUCCAUACAUAAGGACAAAGAGCCCCCUCAAAGGUAUCAAUGGUGGGGGUGUGGGGUGUGGGAUCGGAUCAAAUUCCAACGUUAUCAAUGGUAGGCUAGGGGAUCGGAUCAAAUAGAAUUUGGAUCGCCAAACCUUAAUACAUUUUAUGCUUUUUCUUAUUGGUUUAGAUUUAUGAUAAUCUCCUCCACCAGCAAAAUAAAGUUAUACCGGAGGAUUUUCUUUGUUUUGGCUGUCACACUUUCACUUCUUUGCUAAUAGCCUAACAUCAAAUGAGAAAAUAGAGACAUUUUAAAAAUGAGAACAAAUUCUCGAGGAUUUAGUUGUCUGCCACUAGACUAUAAAAAAUGCUUUCCUGUUAUUUUACCCCCUAAAAUAAGUUUGAUACAAUGCAUCUAUUUUCUGGCUCCGACAAUGUUUAAGAAUACAUCAACCGACCUCAAACCACAUUAUUUCGGUUUGAAAAGAAGGCUUUAUUAUGUCAGUAUGGCUGCUAAGAAGACUUUUGGAAUAUAAUAAAACAAGUCCAGCGAGUUGAUGGUUUGGAAUCGAGAGAUCAUGAAUGAUUUCCCUACUUUAGAGUCAAUAAUUAAGUGGAAUGUGAGAAGGUGAAUGAGGAUGGCCCGGGAUCCAAUGCUUACUAAACUAUUGAAGAUCACCUUCCUGAGGCAUAAUUCCAUUACUUUUCAUCGACGCUGCGAUGCUAUAAAAGAAUAUUAUAAAAAUGCAAGGGUAAUGAAAUAUUGUACAGCCUUUACCGUAUUGAAGAACGUGGACUGAUUGCUAGGGUACCCAACACCCACCAUAAUUCCCACACCAACUCCCAACCAACCCGAUCACGUAGGGCCUCACAUGGCCUCAUUAUCAUUUAUGUGGAAAGAUAAUGCUAAACUAUAUACGGGAUGGCCAUUCUACCAGCCAACCUGUAAUGAUUUUGAUAAAAGUAUACUAAAAAUAGAAGGAGAAAUUAAGUUAUCAUUUGAUAACGGUUUUUAAAAAUUGUUUUUAAUAUUUUAUAAAAUAAAAUUUUAUUUAGAAAUACAAAAUAUUUUUAACUUAUUUUUAAUAUUUUAUAUGUAUAUAUAUAUAUAUAAAGAGAGAGCGCUUUAUUUUUAAUUAUUUUUCAUAUUUAUAUAAUUAUUUUUUAAAACAAUUUCAAAAAAACAAGUGAAAAUAACUAAAAAAAUAUUCUUUGAGAUAAAGAUCAAAAAACAUAAAAUAGUUUUUUUUAUUAUCAAACAUGUUUUAUGUUUUCUAAUCUGUGUUUUUUUAAUUUGUUUUUUGUUUUCAAAUCUUAAGAUCACUUAAUUUUUUAGGGUUUUUUUUAAGAAAUAAUUAUAUAAAUAUAUAAAAUAAUUAAAAAUAAAAUAUUAGACAUAAAAAUUAUUUUUAAAACAUAUUUAAAAAUAUUAAAAACAAGUUUAAAAUAUUUUAAGUUAUAAAAUAAGCUUUUUUUUUUUUACAAGAAUCAUAAAAUAAUUUUUAAAAACUAUUUUAAAAUAUUAUUUUUGAAAAUAAUUAUCAAACCCCUUAUUUUCUAUUCUCAAAAAAUGUUUUUUAAUUAUCAAAUGUGGUGUCUAUUUAAAUUUAAGAUUUUAAAUUUUAAAUUUAGUUAUUUCCAAGUUAUGAUCUCUUGAUAUUAUUUCAACCUAUUAUUUAUUUAUUUGUUUGUUUUUCACAUAAAUAAACUAAAAUUCAAUUGUAUAACCCAGUAUGAAUCACGUGGGCCCUUAGUGAGGCUGGCUACAACUAAAUCAACGUUCUUUUGAUAAUCGAUUGCCUAUGAAAGAAAUCAUCACGCCUUACACACAAUAGAAUAAAUUAAUAAGAAAGUAAGAAGAUUAGAAAGAAAAGCAUCUUAGAGGAAGGGUUUUUUUUUUUUUAACUUCUUGGUGGUGACACUGGAUGGGCUUUUGAUAAUUGUACGACGAAUUUAAAAUUAAUGUUUUAAAAUACGGUAUUAAAAAAUAUUUUCAAAUUUAUGGUACUUUUUACCACUUUGAAACAUGUUUCUUAAAAAAGCAUAUUUCAUCGUUUUUAUAUUAAUGAUACACAUUCAAAAAAAAAAAAAUUAAAGGUGUCUUUUUGAAAUAUAUUUUUCAUAAUUUUUAUAUCAAUAACACACAUUAAAAAAUUUUGAAUUUAUAUUAAAAGUGUCUCUUCAAAAAACACAUUUUAUAAUUCCAUAAAAUUAAAUUUAUAUUAAAAGUGUCUUUUAAAGAUAUACUUUUUACAAUUUUCAUAUCAGUUAUAUAGUGAAAAAAUUGAAUUUAUAUUAAACAUAUUUCUUUAAAAGACAUUUUCUACAAUUUCAUAAAAUUAAAUUUAUAUUAAAGGUAUCUCUUUCAAUAAUUUUUGUAUCAAUCAUCCAUUGAAAUAAUUGAAUUUAUACUAAAAAUAUCUUUUUAAAAGACACCAUCCAUAAUUUCAUAAAAUUAAAUUUAUAUUGAAAUGUUUCUCUUUAUACUUUUAAUAUAAAUUUAAUUUUUUUAUAGGUGAUUAAUAUAAAAAUUAUGAAAAGUAUUUAUUUAAAAAAUAUUUAUUAUAAAUUCAAUUUUAUAGAAUUAUAAAGACGUCUUCAACGUAAAUUCAAUUAUUUUUUCAAUGUGUAAUUGAUAUGAACAUUAUGAAAAAUGUCCUUCAAAAGACACUUUUAGUAUAAAUUUGAUUUUAUGGUAUUAUUAAAAGUAUAUUUCUUUAAUAUAAAUUCAAUUUUUUAACAUGUAUAACUAAUGAAAAAUUAUAAAAAAAUUAUAUUUUGAAGAGAUAUCUUUAAUAUAAAUUCAAUUUUUUAACAUGUAUAACUAAUGAAAAAUUAUAAAAAAAAUUAUAUUUUGAAGAGAUAUCUUUAAUAUAAAUUCAAUUUUAUAGAAUUAUAAAAGAUAUCUAUUGAAAAAAUACUUUUAACAUGUAUCAUUGAUAUGAAAAAUAUAGAAAAUAUCUUUUCAAAAAACACUUUUUAAAAUGGUAAAAAGUACCAUAAAUUUAUCAAAAGUUUUAUAACUAUCAUAGAAAUUUUUUUCAAAAGUUCCAUUUUUUAAUAAUUAUUUUUUUAAAUAGCCGUACAAGUUAUAUAAAAAAAAACCCGAUACUCCAUAAAAUGUGAUCAAGUAGGAUUUGCAUCAUGCAACCUCAUACAAAUAAUAAAAAGCAUAAAUCACUUGAAACUUGAAAGUGAUUGGAAUUUGGCAGACUCUAGCUAGCUAGGUUGCCAUAAAUGACAUGGGUCAGUGGCCGACACCCACCAAACCCAGCACUUAAUAAUAUAAUUAAUAUACUAUUAUUAUAGAACCAUCGUUUUCAGGAUAGGGAGCAUCAAAUUAACCUCCCCAAGUCAAACUGCACAAUUUGUUUCAUCGAAAUCGAAUAUCUAAUAAUGAAUGAUUAUGGGUGAGAUUGCAAUCCGCCAAUCCUUUGCCUAGCUCUUUGAAAAUCAAUGAUGAUGCUUAGUAUUAAUAUUUUAUUUAUCUUUUUAAUAUGAAAAUAAAAAUAUCAAAAUAAUUUUAAACUUUUUUCGUGGAGAUAAUGCUCCCCAGUUAAGCUGCUUAUAAGGUAUAAAUUAAUAAUAACCUUUUAAUUUUAAUAAAAGCAAUUUGAUACAUAUCACAUCUUAAUUCACUUGAGUAAUAACUAUUUAAGAUUGGAUUUAGGUUAACUUAGAUUAAUUAGAUUGUAUUCAGGUUAAUUAAACCAUAAUCAUAUUAUUAUCAACAAUUUCUCACAACUAUCCUAUUUUUAAUAUGAAUUAUUCCUAGUUCUCAAAUUAUUGUUUAGGUAGUUUUAUUAUCUUAAAAAACAUCUUUUUUUGUCAUUGGUUCUGCAUGGUUAUUAAAUAAGAAAAUUAUAAUUAUCUUAUCAACUAAUUUGAAGACUUUUCACAAAUUCAUACUUUAAAAACCUCUUUCUUUGUCGUGGGUCCCUACAUGGUUAUUAAAUAAUAAAAUUGUAAUAAUUUUAUCAAUUAAUUUGAAGACUUUUCACAAAUUUAUACAAUACUAGUUAUCGGAAAUGUGUCACAAAGAAGAUGCCAAGCUAAAAGCAAAUCAUGAUUCAUUAUUUUUUUUCCCAAUUGGAGCUCGAUGACCCAAUCCGAAUGCAUUAACAUCAAAAUUAGUGUUUUAUACUAUUUUCAAUGAACCUUGUCAACAUGAUCGUGAAAUGAUUUAUGAUUAUUUUCAAUAAACCUUUCAUCGAAACUAUGUGUAGAACUGCAUGAAUAAAUAAGAAAUUUUCAUAGUUACAGAUUUGCAUUAUCUCACUCUAUAUGAUUUUAUAUAGUUUUUUUUUUAAUACUUCUGCAACAUUUCUUUAGAAAAAAUAUUGUAUCAAUAAAUUCAGUAAUUUUCAUCAAUUUCAAUCUUAUAAUUAAAUGAUACUUCUGUCAUGUAUAUCACCAUACGUGUCACACUUCAUUCAAGAUCAGGUUGAUUAGUCAUGUAUACCUGCUCCAUUAAUAAAGUAUUAAGUUUUUAUUUUAUUUUAUUAAAAUAAUAAAUAAAUAAUAUAAUUUUUUUUUAUUAGAGGUAGUUAGGUAUCAUUAAAUGAUUUGUUGUCCUGCCAUGUCCCCAAUUAAUAAUUUUAUACUUUUCAUUUUUUUCAAAGGAUUUAAAAUAUAAAAUAUUAAAGAUAAAAUAUCUGAAAGUACCGCUUCCAUACCCAAUCAAAUUUUAAAUCUAAAUUAUUGACAUGUGAGUGAAAUUUGGACUAUUAAAUAAAAAGUGAAAAAAAAAUAAAAUAAUAAAUAAUUAAAAAUGUUCCUGCAAGGAGAUGUGACUAAGGUUAAAAAAGGAGGGGAUAAGGAGCGGCUAGGAAUAUGUAAACAAAAUUCAAAUAAUUAAAAAACGAAAUGAUAACUUCUCAAUGAAAUUGAAUGUUUCAGUUCUAAAAUCCAAAACAAAAACUAUAGUGAAAGAAAAAUUUGAGAAAAUAUAGCAUGGUCUUCUCUUUAAUGAUUGAUAAAUAUUUAUAUAUAAAUAAAGUUUAUUUUCCAUUAUAAUUUAGAUUAGUCGAGUCUUGUUUUCUACUCAAAUUCAAACUUCACAUUUUGUUAUAAUUUAAUCUAAUAAUAAUUGUUUUCACAAGACAAGCUGAAGUUAUCCAUUAAAAUACAACUUUUAAUUAAUAGUUUAAAAAAUAAGAUAAAUUUGAAAAUAAUUUUAAAAUUUAAUAAGUAUAUAUAUUUUUAAAUAGCAUUUUUUUUUUUAAAUUGCCAAAUCUAUGCUCAGAAAAGAUCCACAAAAGUUGAUCAACAAAAGAUACCGAACAGGAAGUAGAUGAUAAUCCAUUAUUUUCUUCUUUAUUAAAGUUUGACAACCCAAUCUGAAUUCAUUAACGUGAAAAGCAGUGUUGUAUGCUCAUUUUCAAUGAACCUUGUCAACAUGCACGUCAAAAACAAUGAUUUAUUAACUACGUACAUGUAGAAUUCCAUGGGAAAAAAAAAAAUACAAUUAAGGCCUUGGGAGAUGAAUAAAAGCUUAACCUAAAAUUCAAAAUUCUCAAAACCAUGUUUUUUCACACCAAAAUGUUUCAUCCAGCCAACCUAAGACCGAUUGAAUCCUCCCUCUAAAGCACAUUGCCCAAGAUUACAGGCAACGUAGUAAUUACCUAAGCAAGUACGUCAGAAUCAUAGCAAUUUUUACCAAAGUGGGUAUCGGGAAGGAGCUUUGCCUAAUUCAUUCUUCGACAAGGUUAUCUACUUCCUCUCGUCACUGCCUUCUGUUUGAAUCAUUUGUAGUUAGUUUUAUCAAUCCAGCUAGUGUUAUUAUCAGAAAAACAUGGCUCUAACUGCUAAAGUGGAGACUGAAACAGAGAUCAAAGCACCUGCUGAUAAGUUCUUUAAACUCUUCAGGAGCCAAGCACACCACCUUCCUAAUAUCUGCUCCGAUAAAAUACACAAAAUCGAGGUACAUGAAGGUGACUGGGAGACUCAGGGCUCCGUCAAGCAUUGGAGUUACACCAUUGGUAUGACAUGCAACUCAAACUAAGAACCCCAAAACACUAGCGUUAUAUUCUGUUAAUUAAAAUAAUUUUUGAUGUUUUUGUUUCAUUUCAUUGUUGUUUUCUUCUCCUUUCAAUUAUUCUUUUAGAAUAAUAAACGCAUGCGUCUUUGUACAUUUUUUUUCUUGCAAAUAAGUGAUCGGGUCUGGGCCGCUAGUGACUAUGAUGGUUCUUAGUAAUGUACAUGACAUCUAAUAAUAGCUUCAACAUAUUCCAAUUAUGUUUAACCUCACAUUUUGGUUUUAACUAGGUGGGAAUUCUCAGAGUAUUAAAGAGACUGUGGAAUCAAUAGAUGAAGAAAACAGGUCCAUCACGUUCAAGGUUUUGGAUGGGGAGGUGCUGAAAGAAUACAAGAGCUACAAGUUCACCGCACAAGCGAUACCAAAGGGGGAGGGCAGCUUGGUGAUAUGGACCAUCGAAUAUGAGAAGGCAAGUGAGGGUGGCCCAGAUCCCCAUAACUACCUAGAGUUUGCAGUUAAUAUCACCAAAGAUAUCGAAAGUCACCUUCUCAAUGCAUAACACCAAGGUCAUAUCUAC